RNAcentral lists this long non-coding RNA (1373 nucleotides) under Citrus maxima (pomelo). Its description in RNAcentral is "long non-coding RNA (CMAX_LNC000178)". The record is from RNAcentral. Lineage: Eukaryota; Viridiplantae; Streptophyta; Magnoliopsida; Sapindales; Rutaceae.
ACAUGAUGAUAAAUUUUAGUUUUAGCAUUAAUAAAAAAAAAUUACAUUGUCAUUGUUUUUACAUUAUAAUUAAGAUAUAUAUUACAACACAUAAUUUAAACAAAAUAAUUAUAAAAAAUUACAUGGUAGACAUUAUGCAUUACGUGUGUAGUCAUGCCACAUAGAAGCUGCAAUCAGACUCUACAAUUAGAGGGACACAUGCUGCAUUUUUUUGCAAUUUUCAGACCCCAAUUAACUGUCUCAGCUUCUGCAGAUUGCUACAUUGCCAUUAAAACUGGAUUUCUUUACAGCAGCAGCUGCAAAUUCUCCCUUAUGAUUUCUGAUGGCAAUUCCCAGGCCAACAUAUUGAUCUUUCCAACUUGGCUGAGAAAAAAAGCUAACACACCUAAAUCAUUUUCUUUUUUUAAUAACACAAAUUCAUGUCAAAAUGGUAUUCAUGGAGUGACAGAACAAACGGAACAUGUGUAUCGGCAACAAAACAGCAAACCACAUUUUAAAAAAAUUAAUUCACAUUUUAAAAAAUAACUACCCAUCGAAUAUAAUUCACGGUAGCAGUUUGCCAACAUCCAAUUAAACUGGACAAUGUUCUUAUACUAACACCAACUUAAUCAAUCUCAUGCCAACAAAAUCAUAUUUACCAAAUAGAAAAUAAUUAUUAAAUAUAAGAAAGAAGGGGAAUGAUACAAAAAAUUACUAGCAAACACAAAGAUUCUCAACAUUCACCAUUUUCCCAAGCAAAUUAAAACCCAAUGGAUAGCAAAUUCGAUUGUAUGCAAGCCUUAAAAAAGAAAAAUAUCAGCAACUCACAUAACAAAGAUGGAGCCGAGAGGGCAAAAGCAGUCGAGGUAGUUGGAUGGAGCAGCAGUGGUUGCGGCGAGAUGGCGCACUAGCGGCGACGGAGAUGAAGCAGCAGCGACGUCGAUCGAGAUGAAGCAGCAACGGCACCGGAGAUGAAGUGCAUCAACCGAGAUGGGCACAUAGAGAGAGAGCAGAUCUGGAGAGAAAAGGACAGAAAGCUUGCUGUUGUGUGUAGAUCGGCGAAGAUAAGGAGAGGGAGAGAGAGAGUUUCGUUGUGAGCAGAUCAAGAAAGGAGGUAGAGAGAGCACCGUGAGUCAGCUUCGUUGUGAGUAGAUCAGGAAAUUCGUGAACGAAAUUUUUUGUUGGCUUUUGUUUUUUGAUUUGUUUUUGAGUUUGGCUUUGUAAUAAGUAGAGAACAUGUUAAACAUGUUUUUGCUUUGCUAGUUAUAAAAAGUAGAUUUGGAUUUCUUAUUUUGUAAUUUGUUUUUGAAUUCAGCCCACCAAACAUGUAUUACAUCAGUACUCCGAAAAUGAAAAUGAAAAUACUAACCCAAAAACGAUACCAAACGGGCCCU